GCAGAUUCUUCCAACGUAGCCUUCAAAUCGUCUUCCUGAAUCAAUAGAAGAAAUAAAUUUAAUUUAAUCGCAUUAUGAAAAGUUUGAGUGGUAAAUUUUUAGCAGUUACUACGUCAUCUACAAGCGAUUACGCUACGUUAAAAAAAAUAA
Molecule: long non-coding RNA, 150 nt
Organism: Apis mellifera (honey bee)
Lineage: Eukaryota; Metazoa; Arthropoda; Insecta; Hymenoptera; Apidae
Exons: 2
Source: RefSeq, a predicted model, not a curated record